UGGGGGAUAUUGCGCAAUGGGGGAAACCCUGACGCAGCAACGCCGCGUGAAGGAUGAAGGUCUUCGGAUUGUAAACUUUUGUCUUUGGGGAAGAAUUUUGACGGUACCCAAGGAGGAAGCCACGGCUAACUACGUGCCAGCAGCCGCGGUAAUACGUAGGUGGCAAGCGUUGUCCGGAUUUACUGGGUGUAAAGGGCGUGUAGGCGGGAAAGUAGGUCAGAUGUGAAAUCUCAAGGCUCAACCUUGAAACUGCAUUUGAAACCAUUUUUCUUGAGUGUCGGAGAGGAAAGCGGAAUUCCUAGUGUAGCGGUGAAAUGCGUAGAUAUUAGGAGGAACACCAGUGGCGAAGGCGGCUUUCUGGACGAUAACUGACGCUGAGGCGCGAAAGCGUGGGGAGCAAACA
The sequence is a ribosomal RNA, 403 nucleotides long. It matches the Rfam family "Bacterial small subunit ribosomal RNA", at positions 355 to 774 of the family's 1533-position model.